CCUACGGGAGGCAGCAGUGAGGAAUAUUGGUCAAUGGGCACGAGCCUGAACCAGCCAAGUCGCGUGAGGGAAGACGGUGCUAUGGAUUGUAAACCUCUUUUGUCGGGGAGCAAAAGACGCCACGCGUGGCUUUCCGAGAGUACCCGAAGAAAAAGCAUCGGCUAACUCCGUGCCAGCAGCCGCGGUAAUACGGAGGAUGCGAGCGUUAUCCGGAUUUAUUGGGUUUAAAGGGUGCGCAGGCGGAAGGUCAAGUCAGCGGUAAAAUUGAGAGGCUCAACCUCUUCGAGCCGUUGAAACUGGUUUUCUUGAGUGAGUGAGAAGUAUGCGGAAUGCGUGGUGUAGCGGUGAAAUGCAUAGAUAUCACGCAGAACUCCGAUUGCGAAGGCAGCAUACCGGCGCUACACUGACGCGCAUGCACGAAAGUGUGGGUAUCGAACAGGAUUAGAUACCCCAGUAGUC
RNAcentral lists this ribosomal RNA (459 nucleotides) under uncultured bacterium. RNAcentral's name for it is "partial 16S ribosomal RNA". It matches the Rfam family "Bacterial small subunit ribosomal RNA", at positions 338 to 795 of the family's 1533-position model. The record is from RNAcentral.